Molecule: long non-coding RNA, 538 nt
Organism: Canis lupus familiaris (dog)
Lineage: Eukaryota; Metazoa; Chordata; Mammalia; Carnivora; Canidae
Exons: 2
Source: RefSeq, a predicted model, not a curated record
AAGGCUUUUUAAACAUAACCUUAAAUAUACAUACUAUGACUCGUUCCCUACCAGCCCCUUAAAAGUAGGUCACAACCACUGCUGAUCAAUAGUAGCGGCCAAGGAUGAAAAUCACCUCUUGCAGGCAGGUUUCUACUGCUGGACACUUACUGAGGUAUAGCCUACCAUUUCUGACUUACGCUAAGUGUUCUGACAACAAAAGGCAACCUUGAGAAAAACAGUAAUUUAUGGUUCUACGUGUCUACCACAACUGGAGCCAUCAGCCUCUCCGUAUAGAACAAAACCUGGUCAGUCAGGGAAUCUGCUUCCCAUUUGCAUUUAACCAACCCCAUAUUAAUGUCUUUUCAAAACCAAGUGUUAUGUGACCCCUAGAAGUUCAAAGAGUCAUCAAAGAAUAGUAAAAGCAAAAGUCAUAAUAAUAUUCAUCUCCAGGCAUUGCCUUGGUUAUGACUGCCUUCAAUGCUGUUUAGCAGUUUUUCUAUCAGUUAAUACUGAAUGAAAACUAACACAUCAUUAAAUCAGUCUUUAAAUGCCUAAA